Arabidopsis thaliana (thale cress) is the source of this 362-nucleotide long non-coding RNA. RefSeq annotates it as other RNA. The record is from RefSeq. The transcript has a single exon. Lineage: Eukaryota; Viridiplantae; Streptophyta; Magnoliopsida; Brassicales; Brassicaceae.
GUCUCCAAACACGUGAUAAAUUUCCGACAAGUCUAAGUAUCAUCACUCCCUAUAACAAUCGAACGGUAAAAAAAAUAUAAAAAAAUCAUAGCAGAGAAAAUCAAACCUCCUCUUUAAAUUAGUUUCUCUCUUCUUCUUUCUUCACUCCCCAAAGAUCACAUAUUUUUCUUCACGAGAAAUUCUUUUUUUCCUCAUUAGAAAAAUGGAUUCUUUUCCGAUAACAAAUAUCCGGACGCAGAUCCUCCGAACGCAAAUCCUCUGGACGCAAAUCCUCCGACUCCUCCUGGUUCGCAUGAAACUGUGAGUAGUUUCCCGAUUCUCUUAGGGUUAUGGUUUACGCGAUGAUUCUCUUUCGCGAUCUU